This 253-nucleotide ribosomal RNA is filed under the name uncultured bacterium. Its description in RNAcentral is "partial 16S ribosomal RNA". It matches the Rfam family "Bacterial small subunit ribosomal RNA", at positions 524 to 776 of the family's 1533-position model. The record is from RNAcentral.
UACGUAGGCAGCGAGCGUUGUUCGGAAUUAUUGGGCGUAAAGAGUGUGUAGGCGGUGCUCCAAGUCUGUCGUGAAAUCUCCCGGCUUAACUGGGAGGGUGCGGCGGAAACUGGAAUGCUAGAGGGUGGGAGAGGUAAGCGGAAUUCCUGGUGUAGCGGUGAAAUGCGUAGAUAUCAGGAGGAACACCUGUGGUGUAGACAGCUUACUGGACCACUUCUGACGCUGAGACACGAAAGCGUGGGUAGCAAACAGG